GUUCAUCUCUACCAGCUAAACUCUUACCAGAUUUUCAAGGCUCAUCUUAUGCAAAUCUCUGCUUUUUUGAGACUCAUCCAUCUGGCUUUACCACUGACUUGCCAUGAUUCUGGUUACCUACACUUUUCUGUUUACUUUUCUUCAUUCACUGGAAACUUUAGCUCCCAGGAUUAGAUUUCAUAUCUACAUAAAUCCCUAAUACCAUCCUGGGAGACACCCAGCCAGAUGACAUGUCUAGUUGCUUUAACAUCUCAUUUCCAGCAAUGACAAACUUAUUUUAAAAUGAUAAUAACAAUUAUAAUAUUAAUAACAACAAUAGGUUACAUUGAGUACUUACUAUGUUUGAGGCACUAUGUAAAGCCCUUUAAUAUCAGUUGUUUCUCAUUUUCCUUAUCUUGCACCUGCAGUUUUCAAGAUUAUUGACUUCCAUACAGCAAAACAUCUUUUUCCCUAUUACUUUGUCGUGGACAGAUCACUAUCCCUCCACUGUCACUCUUCAUCAUUGUCCACUUUUCUGUGUAUCCUAGGAGAUAAAUCAAUAUGAACUGCAUCCAUGGGUUCCUUUGCUUUUUGGAUGACAGCAGGCAUUGAUAGGAGAUGAUACAGUUUGGCUGUGUCCCCACUCAAAUCUUACCUUUGAAUUGUGAUAAUUCUCACAUGUCCUGGGAGGGACCUGGUGGGAGGUAAUUGAAUCAAGGGGGUAGGUCUUUCAUGCGUUUUUCUUGUGAUAGUGAACAAGGCUGAUGAGAUCUGAUGGUUUUAUAAGGAGGUUUCUGCUGCCAUGUAAAAUGACACUUUGCUCCUCGUUAACCUUCCAUCAUGACAGUGAGGCCUCCACAGCCAUGUGAAACUGAGGAAUUUGGACACAGAGACGGACACUCCCAGAAGAAAUACAAUGUGAAGACACACAGGGAGAAGAUAGCCUUGUACCAGGAAGAUGCAUCUGCAGACCAACAAAUGCCAAGGAUUGCCAGAGAACACCAGAAACUGGAAGAAUCAAGGAAGGAUUCUCCCCUGGAGCCAUCAGAGACAACGUGACCUAAUAUCACCUGGAUUUCUCACUACUAGCUUUCAGAACUGUGAGAUAAUAAAUUUUUGUUGCUUUGAGAUAAUGGUAAUUUGUUCACAGCAAUCUUAGCAAACUAACACACUCUACAUGCAAGUAUUAACAUAGUUUUCUUUUUCUUCCUCUGAAUUUCAUGUUAGUAUAAUUCAUUUUCCUUGGUUUAUAAUCACAAAAUCCUCAAGAGAAAAUUAUUUCUACAAAUCAGCAUUAAUAGUUGUAAUUUUGAAAACUUUUUUAGAAUUACACUUUAUGUUCUGGGACACAUAUGCAGAAUGUGUAGGUUUGUUACACAGGUAUACGCAUGCCAUGGUGGUUUGCUGCACACAUCAACCCACCAACUACAUUAGGUAUUUCUCCCAAUGGUGUCCCUCCCCUAGUUCCCCACACCCCAAAAGGUUCCAGUGUGUGAUGUUCCCCUCCCUGUGUCUAUACAUUCUC
This 1504-nucleotide long non-coding RNA is filed under the name Callithrix jacchus (white-tufted-ear marmoset). RNAcentral's name for it is "lncRNA (ENSCJAG00000074297.1)". Lineage: Eukaryota; Metazoa; Chordata; Mammalia; Primates; Cebidae. The record is from RNAcentral.